UGAGUGUUAUGAUGUUGGAAUUAUAAUAAUUCUUAGUCUAGCUCUGGUCUACCACUAGGAGAGGCUCCUAGUG
Molecule: non-coding RNA, 73 nt
Filed under: unclassified sequences
Description: L17 ribosomal protein downstream element
Rfam family: L17 ribosomal protein downstream element
Source: RNAcentral